UACCAAGGCGACGACGGGUAGCGGGUCUGAGAGGAUGAUCCGUCACACUGGGACUGAGACACUGCCCAGACUCCUACGGGAGGCUGCAGUCGAGAAUCUUCCGCAAUGGGCGCAAGCCUGACGGAGCGACACCGCGUGCAGGAUGAAGGCCUUAGGGUUGUAAACUGCUGUCACGCUAUAGGAACCCGCUGGGGUUAAUAGCUCCAGCGCUGACCAAAGCGAGAGGAAGGGCCGGCUAACUCCGUGCCAGCAGCCGCGGUAAUACGGAGGGCUCAAACGUUGUUCGGAAUCACUGGGCAUAAAGCGCACGUAGGCGGCUUCCUAAGUCAGAUGUGAAAGCCCUCGGCCCAACCGGGGAACUGCAUCUGAAACUGGGUAGCUCGAGGAAGACAGGGGUGAGUGGAACUCCAGGUGGAACGGUGAAAUGUGUAGAUAUCUGGAGGAACACCGGUGGCGAAAGCGGCUCACUGGGUCUUCUCUGACGCUGAGGUGCGAAAGCCAGGGUAGCAAACGGGAUUAGAUACCCCGGUAGUCCUGGCCGUAAACGAUGGGCACUAGGUAGUGGACUAACCUAUGUGGUUCACUGCCGUAGCUAAUGUGUUAAGUGCCCCGCCUGGGGAGUACGCUCGCAAGGGUAAAACUCAAAGGAAUUGACGGGGGAUCACACAAGCGGUGGAGCAUGUGGUUUAAUUCGAAACAACGCGAAGAACCUUACCUGGCCUUGACAUGCAUGGAUUAGCCCUCUGAAAGGAGGGUGACGGCUCUUCGGAGUUGGAACAUGUGCAGGUGUUGCAUGGCUGUCGUCAGCUCGUGUCGUGAGAUGUUGGGUUAAGUCCCGUAACGAGCGAAACCCUUAUCGUUAGUUGCCAGCGGGUAAUGCCGGGGACUCUAGCGAGACUGCCGUUGUCAAAACGGAGGAAGGUGGGGACGACGUCAAGUCAUCAUGGCCCUUAUGGCUAGGGCUACACACGUGCUACAAUGGUCUACACAAAGGGUACCGAGACCGCAAGGUGGAGGCAAUCCCCAAAGCAGGCCCCAGUUCGGAUUGCAGGCUGAAAUUCGCCUGCAUGAAGCCGGAAUCGCUAGUAAUCGCGUAUCAGCCAUGACGCGGUGAAUAUGUUCCUGAGCCUUGUACACACCGCCCGUCAAGCCACGGAAGCGGGGAGCGCUCGAAGUCGCUCGUGUCCAACCCUCGGGGGG
Molecule: ribosomal RNA, 1200 nt
Filed under: uncultured prokaryote
Description: partial 16S ribosomal RNA
Rfam family: Bacterial small subunit ribosomal RNA
Source: RNAcentral